This 252-nucleotide ribosomal RNA is filed under the name Enterobacter cloacae. Its description in RNAcentral is "partial 16S ribosomal RNA". It matches the Rfam family "Bacterial small subunit ribosomal RNA", at positions 1 to 247 of the family's 1533-position model. The record is from RNAcentral. Lineage: Bacteria; Pseudomonadati; Pseudomonadota; Gammaproteobacteria; Enterobacterales; Enterobacteriaceae.
UUAAAUUGAAGAGUUUGAUCAUGGCUCAGAUUGAACGCUGGCGGCAGGCCUAACACAUGCAAGUCGAACGGUAACAGGAAGCAGCUUGCUGCUUCGCUGACGAGUGGCGGACGGGUGAGUAAUGUCUGGGAAACUGCCUGAUGGAGGGGGAUAACUACUGGAAACGGUAGCUAAUACCGCAUAACGUCGCAAGACCAAAGAGGGGGACCUUCGGGCCUCUUGCCAUCGGAUGUGCCCAGAUGGGAUUAGCUA